UGGCUCAGGACGAACGCUGGCGGCGUGCCUAAGCUUAUGCAAGUCGAACGCGAACGGCUCCUUCGGGAGCCUAGUAGAGUGGCAAACGGGUGAGUAACGCGUGGGUAACGUACCCUGAUCCUGGGAAUAGCCCUCGGAAACGAGGGCUAAUACCGAAUGUGGCGAACGACCGGUUGGUCGCUCGCUAAAGGUGGCCUCUUCUAUGCUGCCGGGUUGGGAUCGGCCCGCGUCCCAUUAGCUAGUUGGUGAGGUAACGGCUCACCAAGGCCACGAUGGGUAGCCGGCCUGAGAGGGUGUACGGCCACACUGGCACUGAGACAAGGGCCAGUCCCCUAUGGGAGGCGCAGGCGGGAAUAGUUCACAAUGGGCGAAAGCCUGAUGACGCGACGCCGCGUGAGCGAAGAAGACCUUCGGGUUGUAAAGCUCUGUCAGGAGGGAAGAAGGCUCUACGGGUUAAUAGCCCGUGGAAUUGACGGUACCUCCAGAGGAAGCCCCGGCUAAAUACGUGCCAGCAGCCGCGGUAAUACGUAUGGGGCAAGCGUUGUCCGGAUUUACUGGGCGUAAAGGGCGCGUAGGCGGUUUGUUAAGUCGAAGGUGAAAUCCUCGGGCUCAACUCGAGAAUUGCCUUCGAUACUGGCAAACUAGAGUGGCGGAGAGGAAAGCGGAACUCUUGGUGUAACGGUGGAAUGUGUAGAUAUCAAGAGGAACACCGGUGGCGAAGGCGGCUUUCUGGACGCACACUGACGCUCAGGCGCGAAAGCGUGGGUAGCAAACAGGAUUAGAUACCCUGGUAGUCCACGCCAUAAACGAUGGGUACUAGGUGUCGGGGGUAUCGACCCCUCCGGUGCCGCAGUUAACGCACUAAGUACCCCGCCUGGGGAUCAUGGUCGCAAGGCUGAAACUCAAAGGAAUUGACGGGGCCCCGCACAAGCGGUGGAGCAUGUGGUUUAAUUCGACGCAACGCGAAGAACCUUACCUGGGCUUGACAUGCUUGGGACCAGGCUUGAACCAGCGUCUCUCCUUCGG
RNAcentral lists this ribosomal RNA (1026 nucleotides) under uncultured organism. Its description in RNAcentral is "bacterial SSU rRNA". It matches the Rfam family "Bacterial small subunit ribosomal RNA", at positions 20 to 1023 of the family's 1533-position model. The record is from RNAcentral.